CUCUCGGUAGCUCAGUUGGCAGAGCAUUUGACUGUAGUUGUUCCAGUGUGAUCAAAAUGUCCCUAGUUCGAUUCUAGGUCGGGAGA
This is a non-coding RNA of Gracilariopsis chorda, 86 nucleotides long. Lineage: Eukaryota; Rhodophyta; Florideophyceae; Gracilariales; Gracilariaceae. The record is from the annotation of a GenBank genome assembly.